CCUACGGGAGGCUGCAGUGAGGAAUAUUGGUCAAUGGACGAGAGUCUGAACCAGCCAAGUAGCGUGAAGGAUGACUGCCCUAUGGGUUGUAAACUUCUUUUAUAUGGGAAUAAAAUGUUCCACGUGUGGGAUUUUGUAUGUACCAUAUGAAUAAGGAUCGGCUAACUCCGUGCCAGCAGCCGCGGUAAUACGGAGGAUCCGAGCGUUAUCCGGAUUUAUUGGGUUUAAAGGGAGCGUAGGUGGAUUGUUAAGUCAGUUGUGAAAGUUUGCGGCUCAACCGUAAAAUUGCAGUUGAAACUGGCAGUCUUGAGUACAGUAGAGGUGGGCGGAAUUCGUGGUGUAGCGGUGAAAUGCUUAGAUAUCACGAAGAACUCCGAUUGCGAAGGCAGUUCACUGGACUGCAACUGACACUGAGGCUUGAAAGUGUGGGUAUCAAACAGGAUUAGAUACCCGAGUAGUC
This 460-nucleotide ribosomal RNA is filed under the name uncultured bacterium. Its description in RNAcentral is "partial 16S ribosomal RNA". It matches the Rfam family "Bacterial small subunit ribosomal RNA", at positions 338 to 795 of the family's 1533-position model. The record is from RNAcentral.